This 406-nucleotide ribosomal RNA is filed under the name uncultured bacterium. RNAcentral describes it as "partial 16S ribosomal RNA". It matches the Rfam family "Bacterial small subunit ribosomal RNA", at positions 29 to 526 of the family's 1533-position model. The record is from RNAcentral.
AUUGAACGCUGGCGGCAGGCCUAACACAUGCAAGUCGAACGAGUGGCGGACGGGUGAGUAAUGUCUGGGAAACUGCCUGAUGGAGGGGGAUAACUACUGGAAACGGUAGCUAAUACCGCAUACCAUCGGAUGUGCCCAGAUAGGAUUAGCUAGUAGGUGGGGUAAAGGCUCACCUAGGCGACGAUCCCUAGCUGGUCUGAGAGGAUGACCGGCCACAGUGGAAGUGAGACACGGUAGAGAGUCCUACGAGAGGAAGCAGUGGGGAAGAUUCCACAAUGGGCGCAAGCGUGAUGCAGCAAUGCCGCGUGUAUGAAGAAGGCCUUCGGGUUGUAAAGUACUUUCAGCGGGGAGGCGUUACCAGCAGCAGAAGCACCGGAUAACUCCGUGCCAGCAGCCGCGGUAAUAC